AGAGUUUGAUCCUGGCUCAGGACGAACGCUGGCGGCGCGCCUAAUCCAUGCAAGUCGAGCGACGCAUGCCUUAGCCCGUAAGGGCGGGUGUGACGGAGCGGCGAACGGGUGCGUAACACGUGACCAAUCUGCCCCGAAGACCGGGAUAGCCCGGGGAAACCCGGAUUAAUACCGGAUGAUCUCACCAUCACGCAUGUGGAGGUGAGCAAAGGUUCAGGCGCUUCGGGAUGAGGUCGCGGCCCAUCAGCUUGUUGGUGAGGUAACGGCUCACCAAGGCAAUGACGGGUAGCUGGUCUGAGAGGACGAUCAGCCACACUGGAACUGAGAUACGGUCCAGACUCCUACGGGAGGCAGCAGGAGGGAAUCUUGCGCAAUGGGCGAAAGCCUGACGCAGCGACGCCGCGUGGGGGAUGAAUGCCUUAGGGUUGUAAACCCCUUUCACGAGGGAAGAAACUGACGGUACCUCGAGAAGAAGCCCCGGCCAACUACGUGCCAGCAGCCGCGGUAAUACGUAGGGGGCGAGCGUUGUCCGGAUUUAUUGGGCGUAAAGGGCUCGUAGGCGGCUUGGCAAGUCGGCCGUGAAAACCCAGGGCUCAACUCUGGGACGCCGGUCGAUACUGCCAUGGCUAGGGUCCGGUAGAGGGGAAUGGAAU
Molecule: ribosomal RNA, 653 nt
Filed under: uncultured Actinomycetes bacterium
Lineage: Bacteria; Bacillati; Actinomycetota; Actinomycetes
Description: bacterial SSU rRNA
Rfam family: Bacterial small subunit ribosomal RNA
Source: RNAcentral